AACAACAAAAGAUUAGCAAAUCCCACAUUCCCAUACUUUAUUCCGCUCCCUAAUCGCAACACCAUAAUCAGUUAAUCACGUCUCAUCUCAUAAUCCAAACUCUAAUCACUAUUCAAAGGACUGAAACAAACACAAAAGUAGAAACUCACACACCGCUUUCCUUUCUUCUUCUUAACUCCAACAAAAAUGGCCAACAGCCAAACACGCCCUAACUAAACAAAAGAAAAUCAGAAAAA
This 236-nucleotide long non-coding RNA is filed under the name Arachis ipaensis. Its description in RNAcentral is "long non-coding RNA (AIPA_LNC002464)". Lineage: Eukaryota; Viridiplantae; Streptophyta; Magnoliopsida; Fabales; Fabaceae. The record is from RNAcentral.